CGGCGAGAUCCGCGGGCGCUUGCCCGUUGGGGAAGAGGACCUUGAUAGGUGGGCCCCCCUGUCAGUGGUUGGUGGCGGGUGCGCGCGAAACUAGGCUGGCUGGGCUGUGGUCGGGCGCGGGGGAAAUGGGACGGUUCGGCCCAAUUCGGCCGGGCCGGUCCGUUUCUUUUUUUUUUCCUUUUAGCCUUUUCUCUUUUUCUUUUUCUAUAAAUCCUUUGUAACUUUUGAUUUUGAACUCCAAAUUAGUCCAAGUAAAUUCCAGAAAAUUUGUAAAAUCAUGUUUUAUCAUGAUUCAACUUUUGGGAGUAAUUUCCCCUCAAAAUAAAAUAUAUAAAAAUACAUUUGCCCUAUAAAUGCCUUUAGGGCUAUAUAACUAUUUAAAUAAAAUAGUUUUUCACCUCCAAAUAGUUAUCCAAAAAUUAUGGGAUAGCUCAUAUAUGCAAUAAACCCCAUUUAUAGAUAAACCCUAUUGGUUUUAAGAUCGAAAGUUCAAAUGGGUGAAGCCCUAGGGUUUAAAAUGAAAUAAAACCUUUUUAAAACCUUUUGAGACUCAAAUUUGAAUUCAAAUAUGCAAUUGUGGCCUGAUGCUCAUGGAUGCAAUGCAUAUGAAAGGUUUUGAAUUUUUGGGAUGUUACAUUACAUAGGCCUAAAAAACCUAGAUCGAUGGGCAUAGCCAGGUCUCGCAUGCCACGUUUUGGGCCAUCCAGUCAUGCACAUUCUGGCUACUUUGGAUGGGUUUGUAAACACAUAAAAAAAAGUAAAAUUACUUUUGAUUUGUGUUAUACUAUUUUUGUUGCUCAACAGACGGUAUAG
Molecule: long non-coding RNA, 813 nt
Filed under: Brachypodium distachyon (stiff brome)
Lineage: Eukaryota; Viridiplantae; Streptophyta; Magnoliopsida; Poales; Poaceae
Description: long non-coding RNA (BDIS_LNC004980)
Source: RNAcentral